AUAUAAUAUAAUAUAAUAUAAUAUAAUACGUAAAUAGCGAUUGCCAUUAAAGCUAAUGGUAAAAAAUAGUAACGUGCAUCUAUUUGUGAAUGAACAUAAAAUUAAUUCAGCAAAACCAAAAAAAGAAAAGAAAUUCACUGAUAGCUAACUUUUCUAUUUGUGCAAUGAAAUUUCCUUCAUACACAUUCUGAAACGUGGUUCUAACUAGUCUAACGAGUGUCAUUACUAAAUUGCUACGCAAAAAUGAAACACUUUUUCUCUUAAUCUCUUAAUAUGUCUUGCGCGUCCAUGGUCUUCUGGUAAAUAUUUCCCAAUAUUUUCUCUACCCUCUAAUCUCUUUUUUUCUGUUGAGAAAUGUAAGAGCAACUCCAACAGCAUAAUCAUAUCCAACAGCAUAAUCAAAUGAGGCAUUAAAGGCCUAACUGCCAAUUUGAUGCCCAAAAUUUCAUUCUUUCGGCCUCCAGCAGGGUAGUCAAACGGUGGGUGCAUUUUUGGCUCCCAUAAAUUCAAUAACCAAAAAAUUCCAACUGUAAUUUCACACCCCAACGGUCAUUUUUUCUAAACCAAAAAAUUGAUUCAAAAAAUCAGAUUCACCUCAUCAUAUUUCUACAACCCAAUCAAAUAAUUUUCUCAAAUCUUUUAUUUGACUCCACACUAAAAGGAGAGUAAUUCCUUCUUAGGCAAAAAGAGAGAGCGAGAAAAAGUGAAGUAGAAACGAGUGAAACCGAAAAGAACAGAGGUGAAGCAGAGGUAUGUUUUCUGGUUUUUUUUUUUUUUUUUUUGCAACGGCUGUAUAUGGAAGAAGAUGAUGUAGAAAUUAGGUUUAGUUUUUAGUUUUAUAAUAUUUAAAUUGACUUAAGUGGAUUAGGUUGAUUGGGCUGGGCUGGGCUUAGUUAAUUUAUUUUAGUUGAAUUGGAUAAAUUAAUAUAUUUAAAAAUUGAUGAUCCAUUUGAUGUUUUAUUGUUGGAGUGGAAGACUUUUAUUCAAUAACUAAAACACUGUAGCAAUAAUCAAUAGACAUUUGAGUACUCAUUUUUGAUUACUAUUGUUGUAGUUGCCCUGAGAAACAAAAAAUGGCACUCAAG
Molecule: long non-coding RNA, 1085 nt
Filed under: Erythranthe guttata (spotted monkey flower)
Lineage: Eukaryota; Viridiplantae; Streptophyta; Magnoliopsida; Lamiales; Phrymaceae
Description: long non-coding RNA (EGUT_LNC001836)
Source: RNAcentral